This 253-nucleotide ribosomal RNA is filed under the name uncultured bacterium. RNAcentral describes it as "partial 16S ribosomal RNA". It matches the Rfam family "Bacterial small subunit ribosomal RNA", at positions 524 to 776 of the family's 1533-position model. The record is from RNAcentral.
UACGUAGGUGGCAAGCGUUAUCCGGAAUUAUUGGGCGUAAAGCGUGCGCAGGCGGUUUUGUAAGUCUGUCGUGAAAUCCCCGGGCUCAACCUGGGAAUGGCGAUGGAGACUGCAAGGCUAGAGUUUGGCAGAGGGGGGUAGAAUUCCACGUGUAGCAGUGAAAUGCGUAGAGAUGUGGAGGAACACCGAUGGCGAAGGCAGCCCCCUGGGUCAAAACUGACGCUCAUGCACGAAAGCGUGGGGAGCAAACAGG